RNAcentral lists this long non-coding RNA (6562 nucleotides) under Mytilus galloprovincialis (Mediterranean mussel). Lineage: Eukaryota; Metazoa; Mollusca; Bivalvia; Mytilida; Mytilidae. The record is from RNAcentral.
AUCAAUAGAUAUUAGAUCCCCCUCAUUCUGGGAAUUAAUAGUUUAAUCAAACCAAUUUUUAAUGGUAUGGUAUUGGCUUUUUGUAUUUAGUGUUUGAUAUAUUGAUCUUGGAAACAGUUCCAAGUAGAAAACGUGGAGUAUAGGAAGUUAUAACAUUGUUUUAUCAAAUGUUCUUUUUACAGGUAGGCAGUUUGUUUGUUCUAUUAAAUUGAAGAAAACCCAUGUGUACAUAACAUUUCUUAAAUAGAAAAUUGUUAAAUUAAAGAAUUUAAAAGUACUAGAAAGACGAAGUAGUUAUACACAGUAAGUUAGGUAUAUAAUUAUAACUGUUGAAAAAAAAAUCUAUUUUAAAAAGUUUUAUAAGUUUUCUCGGAGGAAACAAACAGCAAAGGUAGGAAAAACUGAUGUUUUAUAAAAUAACUAAAAGAUAAAUCAAAAUUUAAAAAAUGUUAGACAGAAUUUAUGAAGGAAUUUCCAUAAUAUUUUAUGUUUAUAUAAUUUUCAAUAAUAUUGUUGAACCUAUAAAUUGACAUUCAUACAGUCAGAUGUAAAAGUCUUUAACAUGCAAUUUUCAUAGUAACGUCAGAAUUAUUUGCUGAUACUUUUGUUGUACUUUUGUUUUACCAUUAUUGUUAUCUUUUACUUUGUUGAACUGACAAAUAUUUGAAAUCAUGUUUUCAUUUUCUUUAAAGUAAAGCUAAGUGAAAAGUUAAUAUAUGUCAUCUUGUAUAACGUAGUAACUUUACAAACCAAUACAAAAUAUGGCAUUUUUGUCGAGCCUGCAACUUUUGUUGCAGAAAGCUCGACAUAGGGAUAGUGAUCCGGCGGCGGCUACGGCGGCGGCGGUGUUAGCUCACUUCUUAAAAGCGAUAUAUUUUAGAAGGUGGAAGACCUGGAUGCUUCAUAUUUUGUAUAUAGAUGCCUCAUGUUACGAAGUUUCCGUCAGUCACAUGUCCAUUGUCCUUGACCUCACUUUCAUGGUUCAGUGACCACUUGAAAAAAAAGUUCAGAUUUUUUGUAAUGUUAAAUUCUCUCUUACUGUAAGUAAUAGGAUAACUAUAUUUAGUAUGUGCGUACCUUGCAAGGUCCUCAUGCCCGUCAGACAGUUUUCACUUGACCUCAACCUCAUUUCAUGGAUCAGUGAACAAGGUUAAGUUUUGAUGGUCAAGUCCAUAUCUCAGAUACUAUAAGCAAUAGGUCUAGUAUAUUCGGUGUAUGGAAGGACUGUAAGGUGUACAUGUCCAACUGGCAGGUGUCAUCUGACCUUGACCUCAUUUUCAUGGUUCAGUGGUUAUAGUUAAGUUUUUGUGUUUUGGUCUGUUUUUCUCAUACUUUAUGCAAUAGGUUUACUAUAUUUGUUGUAUGGAAUGAUUGUAAGGUGUACAUGUCUAGCGGGCAGAUUUCAUCUGACCUUGGCCUCAUUUUCAUGGUUCAGUGGUAAUAGUUAAGUUUUUGUGUUUUGGUCUGUUUUUCUCAUACUUUAUGCAAUAGGUUUACUAUAUUUGUUGUAUGGAAUGAUUGUAAGGUGUACAUGUCUAGCGGGCAGAUGUCAUCUGACCUUGACCUCAUUUUCAUGGUUCAGUGGUCAAAGUUAAGUUUUUGAGUUUAGGUCUUUUUAUCUAAUACUAUAUGUCAUAGGUCAACUAUAUUUGGUGUAGGGAAAUAUUUUAUGAUCUAUUUGUCAGUUGUGCAGGUUUUAUUUGACCUUGACCUGGUUUUCACGGUUCAUUGCUCAGUGUCAAGUUUUUGUGUUUUGGUCUAUUUUCUUAAACUAUAAGCAAUAGGUCAACUAUAUUUGUUGUAUGGAAGCAUUGUUAGCUGUACAUGUCUGCCUGGCAUAUGGUUCAACUGACCUUGACCUCAUUUUCAUGGUUCAUGUUAAGUUUAUGUGACAGUCGUAAUAAAGCUUUGUAUUUAGGAUUAUCAACAUAAUAUCAAGGAUUAGUAAAGAAGGCGAGACAUUUCAGUGUGUGCACUCUUGUUAGUAUGAAGUCCAUUAUCACUGAGCUGGUGGAGAUAUUUGUUUAGGGGCCAGCUGAAGGACGCCUCAGGAUGCAGGAGUUUCUCGCUGCAUUGAAGACCCAUUGGUGACCUUCUGCUGUUGUCUGUUCUAUGGUCAGGUUAUGGUCUCUUUGACACAUUCCCCAUUUUCAUUCUCAAUUUUAUUACCUGAGUGGCAGUUGGUCAACAACUUCUUUGCUUCAGCCUUAUUAUAAGUUGUCUCUACCAUAUUUUCCUUCACCAAAACAAACUGACCACCAUUUAAUGUUAUGUCAGUAUUUAGAAAGUUGCUUUUAAACCCAAUCAAUCGGUAUGCCAAUUUUUAGUAGUAGUAGAUGGGUUGCUGUCUCAUUCAUGUUAUAUUCUCAUCCAUUUUUCAUCAGAAAGAAUACAGGUAUAUUUAAAUUUGAUCAUAAUUUUUAAGAUCUUUCUAAUAAAAAAAAGAAGUGUUAUGUAACUUAUCAAAUCAUACAUAUUUAGUAUACCUCAGUAGUAUACAAUACUAAAUUCAGAAAUUAUUGCGUGAAUUUAUUAUUGCGAUUUUGUGAUUUUAGUAUAAAAUACCAUUUUAAUUUUUGGAAUAUUGAGAAAAAUCCUUUUUAAUUCUUAUGAAUAAUUUCAAAAUGCGAGUUGAAAUUAUUGCAAUUAUAACCCUAUCACAUUUUUCGCAAUAAUAAAAACAUUGCAAUAAUUUUUGAUUUUACAAUAGUUGAAUUCAAAAUUUAUGACAAAUUUCGAAAAAAUAUCAAAGGACAAGUCAAUCUCAUGCCACAGUGUGUAUGUUUGUUUGUUAGUUCGUGUGUCUUACAUUUUGAUACAAUAUUGAUUGUUGAUUGAUGCAUUGACAAGAACUAUUAACUCAAAAUGAAAAAAGGCAAAAUUUAGAGAAAGGAUUUGUACUAUACUUUCCAAUAUCAUUGUUUCAUAGCUAUAAGCAUCUUAAUUAUCAGCUAUUAUGAUAAGUAGAUUUACUGUGAGAAAAGCAGCUAACACAUUUCUCACAAAAUCUUUGAUUAUAACGAUGGAAAACCCUCAAACAAUUACCGGUAAUUGUGAUUAAAAUUGAAUAAAGGUACACAGUUCCAUUUUAUAGUGUACAGUAAUUAUAAGAUUUUGUGGAAAUCUAGUCACUAUACUGUAAAUUCAGAAAUUAUUGCGAGGUUUUCAGUAAUGCGAAUAAUGCGACUGGAUGGGUAUCACGAUAAUAACAACUUGCAUUCUGAUAUCUGAAACAUAGAUCUGUAAGCAAUUUUUUUUGGAAAUCGCAAUGAUUAAACUCACAUUUUUGUCCAUUCUUGAAAAACCGCAAUAAGUAAUGGAUGCAAUAAUUUCUAAAUUUACAGUAGAUAAAAAUGUAAGCUUUAGAUAAGAGAUAUUCACAAUAGACAAAAAAUGAUGUUAUUUCACUAUUUUGAAGUGCUGAUUUAAACAAAGGAGUAGGGGCAAUAAGGCCCUGAUUUGGCUAAAAAAUUACUGUAAAUUUAAAAGUUAUCAUACAUAUUUUUAAAUUACUGUACAGUAUCUAAGACACAAGGUAUUCAGAAAAACAAAACAAUUUUGGACAUUGAACAAGUUGCCAUGGCAACAAAUCAUGACUUAAUUUGCAUAAUUUGUAAAAUUUCGUGAUUUUCUUUGUUUUUCGUUAAAUUUUUAAGUAUAUUUUAGAUUGAAAAAGUAUGUGGGCACCCAAGAAACAACUUAAUAUUUAGUGAUAUUUUGUUAAUAAUAUAUAGUUAUAAUAAAGCAUCUGUUAAAUAUCUUUGUUGUUUCUUGGCUGCGCACGAUGUUUCCACAACAGAAAUAAAGAGAGAAAACUGCAUAAAUUCUGUAUUUUUCAUCGUUUUUGUAAAAACAGUACAUAUUAUGACGUAAUUGGGACGUCAUCACAUAAAAAUCUUAAUGUUUUUAUGCCCCACCUACGAUAGUAGAGGGGCAUUAUGUUUUCUGGUCUGUGCCUCCGUUCGUUCGUCCGUCUGUCUGUGCGUCCGUCUGUGCAUCCGUUCGCUUCAGGUUAAAGUUUUUGGUCAAGGUAGUUUUUGAAGAAGUUGAAGUCCAAUCAUCUUGAAACUUAGUACACAUGUUCCCCAUGAUAUGAUCUUUCUAAUUUUAAUGCCAAAUUAUAGUUUUGACCCCAAUUUCGUGGUCCACUGAACAUAGAAAAUGAUAGUGCGAAGUUCAGGUUAAAGUUUUUGGUCAAGGUAGGUUUUGAUGAAGUUAAAGUUACAUCAACUUGAAACUUAGUACACAUGUUCCCUAUGAUAUGAUUUUUCUUAUUUUUAUUCCAAAUUAAAGGUUUAACCCCAAUUUUCACCGUCCACUGAACAUAGAAAAUGAUAGUGCGAGGGGCAUCCGUGUACUAUGGACACAUUCUUGUUCAUUGAUAUUUCUUGAUCCUAUGCAUUUCUAAACAUUAUGAAUAGAAUAGAAUAGAAUAGAAUAUUUUAAUAUUAAAGUGCAACCUGAAUUAUAACAAAAAUUACAUUCAUAUAUACAAGUAAUUUUCAGCCAGCCAAAUAGGCUUAUGAUGCUCUGUACAUUGUGUAUCAUUAUUGAAAAUAAAAUAAAUAAAUAAAUAUAGUUCAAAUUUACACGCAAAUUAUAGCAAGGCACGUUAACAGUUGAUUCUAGAUUGUCUGAUGGUAAAACAGUUCAAAAUAAAGUUAGAAACAAGCUUGCUGUAAUUACAAAAUAAAUGUUUUAAUUUGAUGUUUGCUGGUAGCGUAGUUAAGUCUAUGUUGUAUUUAUCUCGCAUUAUGUGCCAAUUUGAAAAAAUUAUCAUAAAUUUUAUUUUCUUGAGCCAAAACCAGGCCUUAAUGCCCCUACUCCUUUUUAAAACAACUUAAGAAUUUUGACCAAUGCUUAUUUGCAGUAUGUAUACAAAUUUGAAAAUUGGCUGCUGGUAAAAACUUUGUAAGAGUUCCUCCCCUAGAAACCAAAAUGACGUUUCUGUACUAUUUGAACUGUUAUUUCUAAAGCCAAAAAAAGUUGUACAGUCCUAAAGCUGUAUAGGGUGCAGUUAAACAUAGUUUUAAGAAUAGAUGAAAACAUUUUUUCAUGAUAUUCUGUGUGUUGGUCUUUUUAUUAUAUUUUAACUGUGCCUUGUAUUGCAAGAUAAAGUUUGAUGCUGUGUAUUUUAUUAAUUAAUUGAACAUUAAUACUGCUGAGUAAAAAUAAAAAAACUAAAAACUAUUGAAAUCUAGAUUGUCAUGAAAGUAAUUUGAGUAAUAGCAUCCAAUUACUUUAUCAUUAAUAAAACAUGUUACCAUAGAUUAAUUGCUACCAAUUUCACUGAAUUUGAUUUUGCAUAUAUAUUAUAGGAAAUAUGCUUGAUUUAUCUUGACAUACUGAAUAAGAAGCAAAUAAAAAUGAUAACUUAUAGUACUAAUUGCUAAGUUAGGUAACUACUAAGUACUGGCAUGAUCAAAAUGAUGCAUUUUGUCUUAAAACUUCCAUUUGAAAUAAAAUAAACAAUUGUUACUGAAUUGUUGGUUGACAUUAUAGAACAUAACUUUAAAAAAAGAAGAUGUGGUAUGAUACUCUCCACAAGAGACCAAAAUGACAUAGAAAUUAACAACUAUAGGUCACCGUAAGGCCUUCAACAAUGAGUAAAGGCCAUACUGCAUUGUCAGCUAUAAAAGGCCCCAAAAUGACAAUGUAAAACAAUUCAAACGAGAAAUUUUUCUUUUCUGGAAAGAAUAUAGAUUCCUUACAAGAGGUUCAUAUAAAUCUUAUAUCUUUUGUCUUUGCUGAAUAGCUGUCUCAUUAUAAUUGGCAAUCAAACACAGUGACAUACAAAAUUACUAAAUUACAAUCUAGACAAUUUAGAUCUUGACAAAUUGAUUAGACACUUGUUUAUUUUUUAAACUGUAUAUUUCUCUUUUGGUUUUAUUUGAGUGUUUCUAUUAUUGUUGUGUGUCUGUCUCAUCUCCUUCUUUUCAUUAAUACUCCUUAUGCUACAUGGACCUGGAUAACAUAAAAAAAUCAUUAUCUCUGUAAAAACUUAAAGCAAUUUGAGCCUUCUUUGUUAAACAAUUCAUGUCAGUUGGAGAAAUAUAGUACUGUAACUUCAGAAAAUUGCAACAAGAUAUGUUUUCACAAAAAUAAAAACUUGCAGUUUGAAUUCUUAUUGCAGUAUUUGUGUUCAACAUUUCCUGAAACUACAAUCAUUAGUCUCAUACAUGUAUCCAUAAUCCAAAAUUGCAAUAAUAAAUGUAUGCACACACAAUAUGAGUAAGCAGUUUUAAUCUGUGUAUCAUAACUAUUUCUGGUUUGCUGGUCCAUGCCAGAUUACCAUACAUGGUGUUAUAAUUAGAACCAUUUUAUAAAUCAUCAUAUAUUUUUAUUCCAGAUUAAGAGACUACAAAGAUGAAGAAACAAACAGAUUCACAAAUUUACAUACAAGCAUGUCUUGUCUUCCUUGUGUUCAUCUCUAUGACAACAGCAUCUGGUUACCAUGACUACUGUAUUAUUGGUGCUGGACCAGGAGGCCUUCAGUUAGGAUAUUAUUUGCAGCAACAGAAUAGAGACUAUAUUAUUUAUGAACGUACAAAUAUUUCAGGUA